UACGUAGGGGCCUAGCGUUGUCCGGAUUUAUUGGGCGUAAAGAGCUCGUAGGCGGUUCGGCAAGUCGGAUGUGAAAUCUCCACGCUCAACGUGGAGGGGCCAUUCGAAACUGCCCGACUAGAGGUAGGUAGGGGAGAUCGGAAUUCCUGGUGUAGCGGUGAAAUGCGCAGAUAUCAGGAGGAACACCGGUGGCGAAGGCGGAUCUCUGGGCCUUACCUGACGCUCAGGUGCGAAAGCUAGGGGAGCGAACAGG
Molecule: ribosomal RNA, 253 nt
Filed under: uncultured bacterium
Lineage: Bacteria
Description: partial 16S ribosomal RNA
Rfam family: Bacterial small subunit ribosomal RNA
Source: RNAcentral